Molecule: long non-coding RNA, 772 nt
Filed under: Numida meleagris (helmeted guineafowl)
Lineage: Eukaryota; Metazoa; Chordata; Aves; Galliformes; Numididae
Description: lncRNA (ENSNMEG00000000411.1)
Source: RNAcentral
GGGAUUGGGAUUGGGAUUGGGGUCGGGCAUUGUUACCCAUGGCCCAGGGCGCUUCCUUGCGCUGCGCCAGGCGGCACGGGUCGCGGUAACGCCGGAACAGCUUGUGCCGCUGGUUGGCACCGUCACCUGCACCGACACCACGUCACCAACACCCACACCGACACACUCUGCCCGUGUCCCCAUGUCCCCGUGUCCCCUUGUCCCUCUGUCCCUGUGUCCCCCUGUCCCCUUGUCCCCAUGUCCCAAUGUCCCCAUGUCCCUAUGUCCCCAUGUCUCACAAGUGUCCCCCUGUCCCUGUGUCCCCAUGUCCCCGUGUCCCCAUGUCCCUGUGUCCCUAUGUCCACAUGUCCCCCUGUCCCUGUGUCCCCAUGUCCCUGUGUCCCCACAUCCCAUUGUCCCCAUGUCCCCAUGUCCCCGUGUCCCCCCGUCCCCUUGUCCCUGUGUCCCCGUCCCCAUGUCCCCACGUCCCCAUGUCCCUGUGUCCCACAAGUGUCCCCUUGUCCCCAUGUCCCCAUGUCAGUGGAUGCCCAUGUCCCCAUGUCCCCAUGUCAGUGCAUCCCCACGUCCCAGUGUCUCCAUGCCCCCAUGUCCCCAUGUCCCACAAGUGUCCCCAUGUCCCCAUGUCCCCAUGUCCCCAUAUCCCACAAGUGUCCCCAUGUCCCCAUGUCCCCAUGUCCCCAUGUCCCCAUAUCCCACAAGUGUCCCCAUGUCCCCAUGCCCCCACGUCCCCAUGUCCCCAUAUCCCACAAGUGUCCCCAUGUCCCCAUGUCCC